GGUUUCCGUAGGUGAACCUGCGGAAGGAUCAUUACCACACUUCAAAAAAAACAAAGAGGGUUCUUUUGUCUAUAAAUUCUUUGUCUUGUACCGAGAAUUGUUAGUCAAUCCCCUUUUUGCGUCCCGCGAACAAAAUAAAUUUCGGUGAAUCAGUUGACUUGGAGGAAACUUCUGUCGGAUGAUUUGUCUUGUUUUAAAAUAUUUUCUUAACUGAAGUUUUUUGAAACAUAAACCAUUUUUAUUGUCACUCUCUGUAACAAGAGUAGUGAUUCUCUUGAUUGAGAAUUGAAAGUUGCAAAUGAUUAUGAACUCAUAACGUAAGCCUUUCUUAACCUUCAGGUGAAGAAAACGCUAAAACUACGCCUUGAGCGAAAUGUCAAACCACUUUCAGCAACGGAUGUCUUGGCUCCCACAACGAUGAAGAACGCAGCGAAAUGCGAUACGUCAUGCGAAUUGCAAAAUCCAGUGAGUCAUCAAAACUUUGAACGCAACUUGCACUUCCUUCGGGAAGUAUGUCUGUUGGAGUGUCUGUUCUAUCCCCACCAAGACGAAAGUUUUGGAGUCGACCGUCUUUCGAGACACGUUCAGAUGUAAGAAAAUGAACAGUAGAAAUUUAUUUCAACUGAUCAUGAUCAACGAAAAACUUGUGUGUUUUUUAAAUCCGCUCUUCGAAGUGUUUUAAAAAUCAUCCUUGUAUGACGUAAUGACGGUACUUUAUCUUCGGAUUAAGGAUUUCCUGACUGAAAACAUGCAAAUUUAAAGGAUUGAUUAUAAUUUCGGAGUCUCAAAGCUGGUUUCGAAUCUUCACAAUGGAAUCGGAUCUCCAAUCAGACAAGAUUACCCGCUGAAUUUAAGC
This 856-nucleotide small RNA is filed under the name Chrysosphaerella brevispina. RNAcentral's name for it is "eukaryotic LSU rRNA". The stretch from base 383 to 530 matches the Rfam family "5.8S ribosomal RNA". The record is from RNAcentral. Lineage: Eukaryota; Synurophyceae; Synurales; Synuraceae.